Molecule: long non-coding RNA, 2206 nt
Organism: Leopardus geoffroyi (Geoffroy's cat)
Lineage: Eukaryota; Metazoa; Chordata; Mammalia; Carnivora; Felidae
Exons: 3
Source: RefSeq, a predicted model, not a curated record
UUCCAUUCCAGUGAAAUAGUAGAAAGCACCAGCUGGAGACCAGCUGUGUCCUAUGGUCUUUGACUGUAAGUGAAAUCUUACUACAACCCAAUAAAGCAGAUGCAUCCUUUGAUGAACUUUGCAAAUCUUCAGAUCAGGUCUCUUAUAUUCUAUAUUAGCUAAAAAGUGAAAAAAAAUCAUUCUCUUUGGAGGCUCAUUAGUUUUUCUUUGAUGCCUGGCCAAGAAUUCAGUUCUCUGUCAAGAAAUGGAGGUAAUAUCUCAUUGGACUACUUUGGUUCUAAUGCCAUUCCUUCUUAGAUAACCAAGGGUACCAGUGAUGUUUUGGGGGGAAGUCAUUGAGAAGAUGUGACCACUGGUUGACCUUCACACUGGACCCAGGCAAUUGUGCAUGCUACAUGAAGUUAUAUGUAAGUGGGACCAAAAUGUAAAUGCAUUAUUAAAUGUGGGAACGUCAAGCUUCAAUUUACCAAGAAUUCAAAAGAACCAUCAUCAUCAUCAUCAUCAUCAUCAAUAAUAUUGAACUUUUUCAAUAAGAUGAUAAGGAAUUUUCUGAUUUCCUGCAUGGGGAAUGAAAAGCUGUAGCAUCAGGAACUCCUCAGCAUGCUUUGAGAGAAAAAAAUGGAAUUUUGGAAACAGUAAUGCAGGAAGCAUCGGAUAUAAUGGGAAAGUUUUUCUUUUGAGUAAUUGCCAACUCCGAGACUUAGGACACAAUGGACAUACUGAUAAGAUCAAAAGUAGAACCUAUAAGAGGAUCUAAAAAAACCUGGUAACUAGAAAUGGAUCUAUAUGUCUACAAAGAAAUGGGCUGAGACUCUUGAAACUUGUUUCCUAGGAAACUCAAUAGACUCAUCCUAAUAGCCUAACAUCAAGUCUGAAUUGGAUCAAAAAGAAUUGCCAAUAAAUUAACUGUAUGCUAGAACGAAACUCAACAUUCAUUAGAAAAAUUACAGAAUUGGGAGUCUCCCUAAUAUAUUAUCUACAAUAUCUAGAGUGUGGUUAAAAGUUACUAGAUAUGCAAACAAGUAAAAAUAUGUGGUGCAUAAUACAGACAUAAAAUGAUCAAUAACGUCUGAUCCACAGAUUACCCAGAUGUUGGAAUUAGCAAAUAAAGACUCUUAUAUGACAGUUUUAGGAAGUAGAGAAUCUACAGGUAAAGAUGGAUAUGAUAACUGAAGAUUUAGAGAAUUCAGAGGAGACAAGGAAAUUCUAAAAAGAAAAAAAAAACAGUGAUUAUAGAAAUAAAAGCACACAAUCUCUAAAAUUAAAAAUGCAUUGGAUGGUACUAACAACACAUGGCACAUUCCAGAAGAAAGGGUCAGUAAACAUGAGAUCAAAUAAAAUUUUUGCAAGCUGGAACUCAAGAAGAAGAUUUUAAUUUUAAAAGAGCUUCACAGACAUAUGUGGCAAUAUCAAGUAGUUUGCCAUUUGUAUAAUUGGAGAUCCAGAUGGAGAAAAGGAAUGUUAUGGGACGGAAAUGUUCGUGAAAUAAUAAUUGAAUUUUUUUUUCUAAAUUUAGAUGAAAACAUUAGGUCAACAACAAAGAAAAACAAUACAACCUAAGAAUAAUAAUUUCAAGUAAAUUACAUCAUAGUCAAACUGGUAAAACUCAAAGUUAAGGAAAAUAAUUACAAUUCAAAAGGCACAUUACAUAAAGAAAACUAAGAAUUAUAGCAGACAUCUCAUUGGAAGUAUAAACCAGAAGUCAAUGGAUCAUGAUACUCUCAAGGGAUAAAACAUUAAUCCAGAAUCCCAUAUUCAUUGAAAAUAUCUUCUAAAAAUAAAAGUGAAAUAAAGAAAAUUUUAUAUAAAACAAAGCUAAGAGAAUUGGUUACCAACAGAUUCACACCUCAAAACAUGAUAAAGGAAGGUUUUAAGUUGAAGGAAAAUCUUUAUGGAAAUUUGAAUGUACAUGAAUUAAUGAAGACCACCAGAACUGAUAAAUGUGGGGGUCACUUUAAGUUGUUUUUAAAAAAUUUUUCCUUAAUUAUUUAAAAUAAAAUUGACCAUUUGAAGAAAAUUAUAUUUUACUAAGGAAAGGUUAUAACAUGUAGAAAGAAAAACGUGAUAAAAUAUAAAUGACGAGAGGAGCUAAAUAAAAAUAUACUGUUGAACGGCUUUACAUUAAAUGUUAAAUGGUAUAUAAUUAAUUCAAGAUAGGGUGCAUAUUGCAAUUCCUAGAACAAAUAGUUAAAAAACAUGAAGUAAU